RNAcentral lists this small RNA (102 nucleotides) under bovine gut metagenome. Its description in RNAcentral is "RT-5 RNA". It matches the Rfam family "RT-5 RNA". Rfam says of the family: Clostridium (Firmicutes). Environment (Cow rumen (57)) The record is from RNAcentral.
UGCGCCUGCGGCGGGUCAGGCACGGAUCAUCCAUGCGCUUCGCAGGCAGCCGAUCCGUGUACGAUUCGGUAUAUCCUUGAAUUUCAAGGAUUUAACGGUUUC